UAAAACUCAAAUGAAUUGACGGGGGCCCGCACAAGCGGUGGAGCAUGUGGUUUAAUUCGAUGCAACGCGAAGAACCUUACCUGGUCUUGACAUCCACGGAAGUUUUCAGAGAUGAGAAUGUGCCUUCGGGAACCGUGAGACAGGUGCUGCAUGGCUGUCGUCAGCUCGUGUUGUGAAAUGUUGGGUUAAGUCCCGCAACGAGCGCAACCCUUAUCCUUUGUUGCCAGCGGUCCGGCCGGGAACUCAAAGGAGACUGCCAGUGAUAAACUGGAGGAAGGUGGGGAUGACGUCAAGUCAUCAUGGCCCUUACGACCAGGGCUACACACGUGCUACAAUGGCGCAUACAAAGAGAAGCGACCUCGCGAGAGCAAGCGGACCUCAUAAAGUGCGUCGUAGUCCGGAUUGGAGUCUGCAACUCGACUCCAUGAAGUCGGAAUCGCUAGUAAUCGUGGAUCAGAAUGCCACGGUGAAUACGUUCCCGGGCCUUGUACACACCGCCCGUCACACCAUGGGAGUGGGUUGCAAAAGAAGUAGGUAGCUUAACCUUCGGGAGGGCGCUUACCACUUUGUGAUUCAUGACUGGGGUGAAGUCGUAACAAGGUAACCGUAGGGGAACC
Molecule: ribosomal RNA, 617 nt
Filed under: Escherichia coli
Lineage: Bacteria; Pseudomonadati; Pseudomonadota; Gammaproteobacteria; Enterobacterales; Enterobacteriaceae
Description: bacterial SSU rRNA
Rfam family: Bacterial small subunit ribosomal RNA
Source: RNAcentral